Tupaia belangeri (northern tree shrew) is the source of this 107-nucleotide small nuclear RNA. The record is from Ensembl. NCBI's taxonomy places the organism in Eukaryota, Metazoa, Chordata, Mammalia, Scandentia, Tupaiidae.
GUGCUUGCUUUGGCAGCACAUAUACUAAAAUUGGAAUGAUACAGAGAAGAUUAGCAUGGCCCCUGCACAAGGAUGACACAAAAUUUUUAGAGACCCCAGAAAUAACC